This 673-nucleotide long non-coding RNA is filed under the name Fukomys damarensis (Damara mole-rat). Its description in RNAcentral is "lncRNA (ENSFDAG00000032584.1)". The record is from RNAcentral. Lineage: Eukaryota; Metazoa; Chordata; Mammalia; Rodentia; Bathyergidae.
GGCUGGUCUGAGCUGGGCUGGGGGUCCGAGGCUCUGGGUGGAGCUUGGCUUUGGGGGGCCUGGGUCCCUGCUGGUCACCAGAAGCAUGAUUCACUUCCCCUGUCCGCUUGUCCCCAGGGCAAGCAAUAUGGAAGUUACCCAGCGAAUGGCAGAGAAUGCUUGUCUGAAGUGUCACUGCCAAGUGCCCCUGCUCUUCUCCCCACCUGAGAACCCUAACUCACCUGCCACCUCUCCCAGCAGGAUGCCGGCUUCGGCCAAGGUAACCUUGUCUGCGCUCCAGGUCCUGAGCCUUUGCAUCACGCGCUCAGCUCGUGUUUGCUGACUGCCUCGCUGAUGGUGCCCGGAGGACUCUCGAGUGGGGAGGAGGAUCUCAGCUCCAGACCCCACCAAGCCGCGCCGCCGGCUCCCAUCUGCCCGCUGCCAGCCUCCUCCGGCCGCUGCUCUGGCGCCCACGGCUGCUUAAUCUGAUCUCACAGGGAAAUCUCUAUUUGCUUCGGUGGCGGCGUCAGCCUUCACGGUCGAUUUCCGGCAUUGCCCUCGGUGUGGUGCUGACCCAGCUGUCGACAGUGUAGAAAAAUCAGUGUUAUCAGGGCCCAAUCUGGAGGCAUCUCUCACGCUGGCGUCCCUGACACGUUAAUUGAACUUGAUAAAUGCUCAUUCUUGAAUAAAGACA